This 491-nucleotide long non-coding RNA is filed under the name Vulpes vulpes (red fox). RNAcentral's name for it is "lncRNA (ENSVVUG00000016387.1)". Lineage: Eukaryota; Metazoa; Chordata; Mammalia; Carnivora; Canidae. The record is from RNAcentral.
CAAAACUCUUCUAAUGGUCUAUAAUCUAAAGAAGGUCAAGAAUCAGUAUUCCUUUCACUGGACAAUUAGAGGUCCAUGACUGUGAACUUUCUAUUGAAUGCCAGACUUCAUUCAGGAUGUUUUCACUUGGGUUUUUCUCAGGAAGUAGAACAGAUCUGAUAUUUUUAGCUUCUGUGUACAGACAAGAGACACUGAACCGAACACAACCUCAUUUCCUUUGGCUGCCCUGUGUCCUACCCUUGGGGAAAUCUCCCCUCGAACCAUCACAAGCGAGAAGUUUCCUAAGUAAGCACUUGAUCAUCUACAUCCUGGACAGUGAAUCUGAAAUCUGCACGUGUCUGCGAAGAAAAGGUAAAACAUAACAAAACAGACGUGGUCACUGGUAACAGAAAGGGUUCUUUGGGGCUAAACUUAAGCUGAAAACCAGGACUUAUUCAGAUAAAGUAUCUGGUGAGGUAAAACCGUAAUACCUUAGUGUAAUAAGAUUCUGU